Molecule: long non-coding RNA, 789 nt
Filed under: Homo sapiens (human)
Lineage: Eukaryota; Metazoa; Chordata; Mammalia; Primates; Hominidae
Description: non-protein coding lnc-CYSTM1-4:1
Source: RNAcentral
CUUCUGCGCCUGCGCAUGAGUUGGACUAACCGGGCUUCUUAUCUUUCUCUGAGAAUUGACUCCUGAAAUAUUUGGGUUUCGGAUUCCGUGUCUUCACUACCUGACCGGUCAGGUCUGGCUUGCUCCUCCGUAUCUUCCAGACAUAGCCCAACGCGCAGAUUUCCCAUGUGGCUUUAAGCAGUUUGCCAGCUAGCUUAAUAUGUGCUGCUAAAUUGAGAUGUAUGUAGAUGAGGUCAAACCCUCAUCAGUCGAUCAGUCCUUCAGCUAGUCGCUGUGCUCUCAGGAAUGAGUAAGAGUAAGUCCAGAACCUCAGGCAUGACAGUUUGGGAAAGACUAUUGGAAAGCUUGUCUGGAGUGUUCUUUCCAAAACGAACUUAUUACUUCCAAAAGCUUCCCAAAGACAUUCUAGGCACAGUGGUUCUCAAGAGAGGCUGAAUACGUUUGUUUAAAAACAAAAAAAUGCAGGUUCUCUGGGUCUCAUCUCAAACGUACUCAGAAUCUUUGAGAAUGGGGUCUGGAAAUUUGCACUUUUGCAGACUACCCCAGUGACCUAAUGGUGCAACUCCUCCGCGGAUCACUUUUUUGAGAAUCUCUGCCAUAAAAGGACCUGGCAUUUGAACCAGAAUAGAUAAUAAUUGACUUUUGGAAAUGGAAAAAAAAGUUAACCUACUCUAAAAACUGUUAUGCUAAGAGAAAGUGCUACAUAAAUAAUUAGGAAAUUUAUUUUAUUUUUUAAAAAAAGAAAGAAAGAGAGAAAGAAAACAAACUGUUAGGGAGAUGAAAGGGCAG